This 468-nucleotide ribosomal RNA is filed under the name uncultured bacterium. RNAcentral's name for it is "partial 16S ribosomal RNA". It matches the Rfam family "Bacterial small subunit ribosomal RNA", at positions 28 to 507 of the family's 1533-position model. The record is from RNAcentral.
GACGAACGCUGGCGGCAUGCUUAACACAUGCAAGUCGAACGGAAAGGCCCUGCUUUUGUGGGGUGCUCGAGUGGCGAACGGGUGAGUAACACGUGAGUAACCUGCCCUUGACUUUGGGAUAACUUCAGGAAACUGGGGCUAAUACCGGAUAGGAGCUCCUGCUGCAUGGUGGGGGUUGGAAAGUUUCGGCGGUUGGGGAUGGACUCGCGGCUUAUCAGCUUGUUGGUGGGGUAGUGGCUUACCAAGGCUUUGACGGGUAGCCGGCCUGGGAGGGUGACCGGCCACAUUGGGACUGAGAUACGGCCCAGACUCCUACGGGAGGCAGCAGUGGGGAAUAUUGCACAAUGGGCGGAAGCCUGAUGCAGCAACGCCGCGUGCGGGAUGACGGCCUUCGGGUUGUAAACCGCUUUCGCCUGUGACGAAGCGUGAGUGACGGUAAUGGGUAAAGAAGCACCGGCUAACUACGUG